AGCAGCCGCGGUAAUUCCAGCUCCAAUAGCGUAUAUUAAAGUUGUUGCAGUUAAAAAGCUCGUAGUUGAAUUUCGGGGUUAGUAGGUUGGUCGUGCCACUGGUAUGUACUGGCUCUACUGAUCCCUCCUUCUUGUAGAACCGUAAUGCCAUUAACUUGGUGUUGCGGGGAAACAGGACUGUUACUUUGAAAAAAUUAGAGUGUUUAAAGCAGGCUAACGCUUGAAUACAUUAGCAUGGAAUAAUGAAAUAGGACGCUCGAUCCUAUUUUGUUGGUUUCUAGGAUUGACGUAAUGAUUAAUAGGGAUAGUUGGGGGCAUUAGUAUUCAAUUGUCAGAGGUGAAAUUCUUGGAUUUAUUGAAGACUAACUACUGCGAAAGCAUUUGCCAAGGAUGUUUUCAUUAAUCAAGAACGAAAGUUAGGGGAUCGAAGACGAUCAGAUACCGUCGUAGUCUUAACCAUAAACUAUGCCGACUAGGGAUCGGAUGAUGUUAAUUUUUAUGUACUUCAUUCGGCGCCUUA
Molecule: ribosomal RNA, 520 nt
Filed under: uncultured Glomus
Lineage: Eukaryota; Fungi; Glomeromycota; Glomeromycetes; Glomerales; Glomeraceae
Description: SSU rRNA
Rfam family: Eukaryotic small subunit ribosomal RNA
Source: RNAcentral